This is a small nuclear RNA of Equus caballus (horse), 102 nucleotides long. The record is from Ensembl. NCBI's taxonomy places the organism in Eukaryota, Metazoa, Chordata, Mammalia, Perissodactyla, Equidae.
UUAAUUUCAGCAGCACAUAUACUAAAAUUAGAACAAUAUAGAGGAUUAGCAUGGCCUCCGCACAAGAAUGACAUGCAAAUUCAUGAAUCAUUCCAUAUUUUA